UACGUAGGGUGCAAGCGUUAAUCGGAAUUACUGGGCGUAAAGCGUGCGCAGGCGGUGAUGUAAGACAGGUGUGAAAUCCCCGGGCUUAACCUGGGAACUGCAUUUGUGACUGCAUCGCUGGAGUGCGGCAGAGGGGGAUGGAAUUCCGCGUGUAGCAGUGAAAUGCGUAGAUAUCAGGAGGAAUACCGAUGGCGAAGGCAGGUCUCUGGGCUAGAACUGACGCUCAUGCACGAAAGCGUGGGGAGCAAACAGG
Molecule: ribosomal RNA, 253 nt
Filed under: uncultured bacterium
Lineage: Bacteria
Description: partial 16S ribosomal RNA
Rfam family: Bacterial small subunit ribosomal RNA
Source: RNAcentral